UGGGGAAUAUUGGACAAUGGGCGAAAGCCUGAUCCAGCAAUGCCGCGUGAGUGAUGAAGGCCCUAGGGUUGUAAAGCUCUUUUACCCGGGAUGAUAAUGACAGUACCGGGAGAAUAAGCUCCGGCUAACUCCGUGCCAGCAGCCGCGGUAAUACGGAGGGAGCUAGCGUUGUUCGGAAUUACUGGGCGUAAAGCGCGCGUAGGCGGCUUUUUAAGUCAGAGGUGAAAGCCCGGGGCUCAACCCCGGAAUUGCCUUUGAAACUGGAAAGCUAGAAUCUUGGAGAGGUCAGUGGAAUUCCGAGUGUAGAGGUGAAAUUCGUAGAUAUUCGGAAGAACACCAGUGGCGAAGGCGACUGACUGGACAAGUAUUGACGCUGAGGUGCGAAAGCGUGGGGAGCAAACA
Molecule: ribosomal RNA, 402 nt
Filed under: Sphingopyxis sp.
Lineage: Bacteria; Pseudomonadati; Pseudomonadota; Alphaproteobacteria; Sphingomonadales; Sphingopyxidaceae
Also listed under: 3 other names
Description: bacterial SSU rRNA
Rfam family: Bacterial small subunit ribosomal RNA
Source: RNAcentral